RNAcentral lists this unclassified non-coding RNA (428 nucleotides) under uncultured fungus. RNAcentral describes it as "partial contains small subunit ribosomal RNA, internal transcribed spacer 1, and 5.8S ribosomal RNA". The stretch from base 1 to 73 matches the Rfam family "Eukaryotic small subunit ribosomal RNA", at positions 1759 to 1831 of the family's 1831-position model. Lineage: Eukaryota; Fungi. The record is from RNAcentral.
CCAAACUUGGUCAUUUAGAGGAAGUAAAAGUCGUAACAAGGUUUCCGUAGGUGAACCUGCGGAAGGAUCAUUAUUGAAUACGUGCGGGGCUCACUUGAUGCUGGCUUUUCGGAGCAUGUGCUCGUGGGCUUCAAUCUAUUCUCCUUCAUCUCUUGUGCACCUUCUGUAGUCUUUGAAGUAGAAGCAAUUUGCGGUCUUAGGACUGCAAGGACUUUGUACCCUCCGGUACAAGGUUAUUGGGGAGCUUGAGGAGCGUCUAUACAACGAAGCACUCUUUCCCUGCUUUUGCUUUUUCCCUUCAAAGGCUAUGUUUUAUAUACCCUAUAUUGUAUGUCUAGAAUGUCUUAUUUUAUUGACUUCGGUCAUUAAAAUCCUAUACAACUUUCAGCAACGGAUCUCUUGGCUCUCCCAUCGAUGAAGAACGCAGC